AUGACCAAAGCUUUAUUAGACAAAUAUUUGCAUCUGCCAACUACUGUGGGUUUGGUCAAAACUGGUUGCUUCCAAUAUUUGAUUGAUCAGAUUUGUAGAAGAUUUAAUAGUUGGAAAGAAAGACAACUCUCGGCUGGGGGUAAGGAAGUUAUCCCUGAAGCGAUUGCGCAAGCUAUGCCAUCAUAUGCAAUAUUGGUAUUCAAAAUUCCUAAAGAAACAUGUAAAAAAAUAACAAACGCAACGUCGCACUAUUGGUGGGAAGAUGGUGAAACUCAACGGAGAAUGCAUUGCUUUGCUUGUUGGAAGAUGUGUGUGCCUAAGAGGCAAGGAGGUAUUUGGCUUGGGGAUAUUCAUUGUUUUGAUUUAGCUCUGGUUAAGCAAGCUUCGAGAUUAAGUGAAAGCCCAAACACAUUGUGUGCAAGUAUUUUUUUUUAG
Molecule: ribosomal RNA, 435 nt
Filed under: Triticum aestivum (bread wheat)
Lineage: Eukaryota; Viridiplantae; Streptophyta; Magnoliopsida; Poales; Poaceae
Description: partial small subunit ribosomal RNA
Source: RNAcentral